UACAGAGGUCUCAAGCGUUGUUCGGAUUCAUUGGGCGUAAAGGGUGCGUAGGUGGCGCCGUAAGUCAGGUGUGAAAUUUCGGAGCUUAACUCCGAAACUGCAUUUGAUACUGCGGUGCUUGAGGACUGGAGAGGAGACUGGAAUUUACGGUGUAGCAGUGAAAUGCGUAGAUAUCGUAAGGAAGACCAGUGGCGAAGGCGAGUCUCUGGACAGUUACCGACGCUGAGGCACGAAGGUCAGGGGAGCAAACGGG
This 253-nucleotide ribosomal RNA is filed under the name uncultured bacterium. Its description in RNAcentral is "partial 16S ribosomal RNA". It matches the Rfam family "Bacterial small subunit ribosomal RNA", at positions 524 to 776 of the family's 1533-position model. The record is from RNAcentral.